GGGAGCCGGAUAAGUCGAGAGGUUCAUGUCCGGUUCUGCGAGCGGCGGCGGGUGAGAUUCCCGCCGCCGACUCUCC
Frankia sp. is the source of this 76-nucleotide non-coding RNA. The record is from Rfam. NCBI's taxonomy places the organism in Bacteria, Bacillati, Actinomycetota, Actinomycetes, Frankiales, Frankiaceae.